UCGAACGCGAAGGAAGUCUUCGGACUUCUGGAGAGUGGCGCACGGGUGAGUAACACGUGGGUAAUCUGCCUUUGGGUGGGGAAUAACGGUCCGAAAGGGUCGCUAAUACCGCAUAACGCAGCGGCACCGCAUGGUGACAGUUGUUAAAGGGGGGGAUCGAAAGACCUCUCGCCUGAAGAGGAGCCCGCGUCCGAUUAGCUAGUUGGUGAGGUAAUGGCUCACCAAGGCAUCGAUCGGUAGCCGGCCUGAGAGGGCGGUCGGCCACACUGGCACUGAGACACGGGCCAGACUCCUACGGGAGGCAGCAGUGGGGAAUUUUGGGCAAUGGGCGCAAGCCUGACCCAGCAACGCCGCGUGAAGGAUGAAAUCCCUCUGGGAUGUAAACUUCGAAAGUCGGGAAAGAAAUCGCCAUGGAUAACACCCGUGGUGGAUGACGGUACCCGACGUAAGCCCCGGCUAACUACGUGCCAGCAGCCGCGGUAAUACGUAGGAGGCAAGCGUUGUUCGGAAUUACUGGGCGUAAAGGGCGCGUAGGCGGCAUGGCAAGUCGGGAGUGAAAGCCCGGGGCUCAACCCCGGAACUGCUUUCGAAACUGCCAAGCUAGAGUACGGAAGGGGCAACUGGAAUUCCCAGUGUAGCGGUGAAAUGCGUAGAUAUUGGGAAGAACACCGGAGGCGAAGGCGGGUUGCUGGGCCGAUACUGACGCUGAGGCGCGAAAGCCAGGGGAGCAAACGGGAUUAGAUACCCCGGUAGUCCUGGCCCUAAACGAUGGAUACUUGGUGUGUGGGGUUCUCAAAGUCCCCGCGUGCCGGAGCUAACGCGUUAAGUAUC
RNAcentral lists this ribosomal RNA (831 nucleotides) under uncultured bacterium. Its description in RNAcentral is "bacterial SSU rRNA". It matches the Rfam family "Bacterial small subunit ribosomal RNA", at positions 62 to 868 of the family's 1533-position model. The record is from RNAcentral.